RNAcentral lists this ribosomal RNA (497 nucleotides) under uncultured bacterium. RNAcentral describes it as "partial 16S ribosomal RNA". It matches the Rfam family "Bacterial small subunit ribosomal RNA", at positions 28 to 507 of the family's 1533-position model. The record is from RNAcentral.
GAUGAACGCUGGCGGCGUGCCUAAUACAUGCAAGUCGAGCGAACAGACGAGGAGCUUGCUCCUCUGACGUUAGCGGCGGACGGGUGAGUAACACGUGGAUAACCUACCUAUAAGACUGGGAUAACUUCGGGAAACCGGAGCUAAUACCGGAUAAUAUAUUGAACCGCAUGGUUCAAUAGUGAAAGACGGUUUUGCUGUCACUUAUAGAUGGAUCCGCGCCGCAUUAGCUAGUUGGUAAGGUAACGGCUUACCAAGGCAACGAUGCGUAGCCGACCUGAGAGGGUGAUCGGCCACACUGGAACUGAGACACGGUCCAGACGCCUACGGGAGGCAGCAGUAGGGAAUCUUCCGCAAUGGGCGAAAGCCUGACGGAGCAACGCCGCGUGAGUGAUGAAGGUCUUCGGAUCGUAAAACUCUGUUAUUAGGGAAGAACAAAUGUGUAAGUAACUAUGCACGUCUUGACGGCACCUAAUCAGAAAGCCACGGCUAACUACGUG